GUGAAUCAUCAAAUUUUUGAACGCAAAUUGCACUUUCUUCGGAGAGAAUGUCUGUUUGAGGGUCAGCUUAAAAAAAACCGAUAUAGUUGUUGUUACGCCGUAACAUUCGUCGGAUAUUGGGUCUUCUUAAACUUUUGGGUUUAAGAGGCUUCAACUUUUCUUUAUGUUUCCAAGUACGUUUCUAAGAUUUCUUUUUCUUAUAUGUUUAAGGUAUCGAUCUUUAUUAGAUGUGGCCGUUGCUUCGGAUCUCGUCCAUAAAUAUUUCGUUUACUGAGC
Molecule: unclassified non-coding RNA, 276 nt
Filed under: Glomus sp.
Lineage: Eukaryota; Fungi; Glomeromycota; Glomeromycetes; Glomerales; Glomeraceae
Description: partial contains 5.8S ribosomal RNA and internal transcribed spacer 2
Rfam family: 5.8S ribosomal RNA (bases 1-65)
Source: RNAcentral